CAGUCGAACGAACUCUGGUAUUGAUUGGUGCUUGCAUCAUGAUUUACAUUUGAGUGAGUGGCGAACUGGUGAGUAACACGUGGGAAACCUGCCCAGAAGCGGGGGAUAACACCUGGAAACAGAUGCUAAUACCGCAUAACAACUUGGACCGCAUGGUCCGAGUUUGAAAGAUGGCUUCGGCUAUCACUUUUGGAUGGUCCCGCGGCGUAUUAGCUAGAUGGUGGGGUAACGGCUCACCAUGGCAAUGAUACGUAGCCGACCUGAGAGGGUAAUCGGCCACAUUGGGACUGAGACACGGCCCAAACUCCUACGGGAGGCAGCAGUAGGGAAUCUUCCACAAUGGACGAAAGUCUGAUGGAGCAACGCCGCGUGAGUGAAGAAGGGUUUCGGCUCGUAAAACUCUGUUGUUAAAGAAGAACAUAUCUGAGAGUAACUGUUCAGGUAUUGACGGUAUUUAACCAGAAAGCCACGGCUAACUACGUGCCAGCAGCCGCGGUAAUACGUAGGUGGCAAGCGUUGUCCGGAUUUAUUGGGCGUAAAGCGAGCGCAGGCGGUUUUUUAAGUCUGAUGUGAAAGCCUUCGGCUCAACCGAAGAAGUGCAUCGGAAACUGGGAAACUUGAGUGCAGAAGAGGACAGUGGAACUCCAUGUGUAGCGGUGAAAUGCGUAGAUAUAUGGAAGAACACCAGUGGCGAAGGCGGCUGUCUGGUCUGUAACUGACGCUGAGGCUCGAAAGUAUGGGUAGCAAACAGGAUUAGAUACCCUGGUAGUCCAUACCGUAAACGAUGAAUGCUAAGUGUUGGAGGGUUUCCGCCCUUCAGUGCUGCAGCUAACGCAUUAAGCAUUCCGCCUGGGGAGUACGGCCGCAAGGCUGAAACUCAAAGGAAUUGACGGGGGCCCGCACAAGCGGUGGAGCAUGUGGUUUAAUUCGAAGCUACGCGAAGAACCUUACCAGGUCUUGACAUACUAUGCAAAUCUAAGAGAUUAGACGUUCCCUUCGGGGACAUGGAUACAGGUGGUGCAUGGUUGUCGUCAGCUCGUGUCGUGAGAUGUUGGGUUAAGUCCCGCAACGAGCGCAACCCUUAUUAUCAGUUGCCAGCAUUAAGUUGGGCACUCUGGUGAGACUGCCGGUGACAAACCGGAGGAAGGUGGGGAUGACGUCAAAUCAUCAUGCCCCUUAUGACCUGGGCUACACACGUGCUACAAUGGAUGGUACAACGAGUUGCGAACUCGCGAGAGUAAGCUAAUCUCUUAAAGCCAUUCUCAGUUCGGAUUGUAGGCUGCAACUCGCCUACAUGAAGUCGGAAUCGCUAGUAAUCGCGGAUCAGCAUGCCGCGGUGAAUACGUUCCCGGGCCUUGUACACACCGCCCGUCACACCAUGAGAGUUUGUAACACCCAAAGUCGGUGGGGUAA
Molecule: ribosomal RNA, 1413 nt
Filed under: Lactiplantibacillus plantarum
Lineage: Bacteria; Bacillati; Bacillota; Bacilli; Lactobacillales; Lactobacillaceae
Also listed under: 1 other name
Description: bacterial SSU rRNA
Rfam family: Bacterial small subunit ribosomal RNA
Source: RNAcentral